AUUGAACGCUGGCGGCAUGCCUUACACAUGCAAGUCGAACGGCAGCACGGGGGCAACCCUGGUGGCGAGUGGCGAACGGGUGAGUAAUACAUCGGAACGUGCCCGGUAGUGGGGGAUAGCUCGGCGAAAGCCGGAUUAAUACCGCAUACGACCUGCGGGUGAAAGCGGGGGAUCGCAAGACCUCGCGCUAUCGGAGCGGCCGAUGUCAGAUUAGGUUGUUGGUGGGGUAAAGGCCACCAAGCCGACGAUCUGUAGCUGGUCUGAGAGGACGACCAGCCACACUGGGACUGAGACACGGCCCAGACUCCUACGGGAGGCAGCAGUGGGGAAUUUUGGACAAUGGGCGCAAGCCUGAUCCAGCCAUGCCGCGUGCGGGAAGAAGGCCG
Molecule: ribosomal RNA, 386 nt
Filed under: uncultured bacterium
Lineage: Bacteria
Description: bacterial SSU rRNA
Rfam family: Bacterial small subunit ribosomal RNA
Source: RNAcentral